Molecule: long non-coding RNA, 475 nt
Organism: Daphnia pulex (common water flea)
Lineage: Eukaryota; Metazoa; Arthropoda; Branchiopoda; Diplostraca; Daphniidae
Exons: 3
Source: RefSeq, a predicted model, not a curated record
UAUUUGAGCUAAUCGUUUCUUCCUCCCACACCAAUGGGGCUUUCAAGUAUAUAGUUAAGUGGAAAGACCAAAAUGAUCCGGAAGAAGUUUUGGCUUCUCAUUUUAAUCUGACACAUCCUCAAAUCGUCAUCAGUUACUUGGAAAAAAGGAUUGUUGCAAAUGAGAAUUCGCUCAACGGACAUACACCUACAAUACAAUCAACAACAACACUACCAGCACCACCAACAACAACACCACCACAAUAGGUAUGGUAUGUAUAGGUAUAGGUAGCAAUGGGAGGAAGAAGGGAAGAACGAAUAACGAAGAACGAAUGGAAAGACAAAGGGAGAGUAAAAAAGAGAGGGACCGACCCCUUUCUUCCCCACUCUAUUUAUCCCUUCCUUGACUGUCCUUCCUUUUGUACCCUUUUCUUAUGGACAACGUCAAUGCUUUUUCGUUUGAGGUUGCACCAAACCGGGGGUAAAAGCUAACCAAG